GCCCAGACAACUAGGAUGUUGGCUUAGAAGCAGCCAUCAUUUAAAGAGUGCGUAAUAGCUCACUAGUCGAGUGACACUGCGCCGAAAAUGUACCGGGGCUAAACAUAUUACCGAAGCUGUGGAUUGUCCUUUGGACAAUGGUAGGAGAGCGUUCUAAGGGCGUUGAAGCAUGAUCGCAAGGACAUGUGGAGCGCUUAGAAGUGAGAAUGCCGGUGUGAGUAGCGAAAGACGGGUGAGAAUCCCGUCCACCGAUUGACUAAGGUUUCCAGAGGAAGGCUCGUCCGCUCUGGGUUAGUCGGGUCCUAAGCUGAGGCCGACAGGCGUAGGCGAUGGAUAACAGGUUGAUAUUCCUGUACCACCAUUAUUCGUUUUAAGCGAUGGGGGGACGCAGUAGGAUAGGCGAAGCGUGCUGUUGGAGUGCACGUCCAAGCAGUGAGAUUGAGUGUUAGGCAAAUCCGGCACUCUUAAGAUUGAGCUGUGAUGGGGAGAGGAACUUGUUCCUCGAGUCGUUGAUUUCACACUGCCGAGAAAAGCCUCUAGCUAGAAUAACGGUGCCCGUACCGCAAACCGACACAGGUAGUCAAGAUGAGAAUUCUAAGGUGAGCGAGCGAACUCUCGUUAAGGAACUCGGCAAAAUGACCCCGUAACUUCGGGAGAAGGGGUGCUCUUUGAGGUUCACGCUUCGAAGAGCCGCAGUGAAUAGGCCCAAGCGACUGUUUAUCAAAAACACAGGUCUCUGCUAAACCGUAAGGUGACGUAUAGGGGCUGACGCCUGCCCGGUGCUGGAAGGUUAAGAGGAGUGGUUAGCGCAAGCGAAGCUACGAAUCGAAGCCCCAGUAAACGGCGGCCGUAACUAUAACGGUCCUAAGGUAGCGAAAUUCCUUGUCGGGUAAGUUCCGACCCGCACGAAAGGCGUAACGAUUUGGGCACUGUCUCAACGAGAGACUCGGUGAAAUCAUAGUACCGGUGAAGAUGCCGGUUACCCGCGACAGGACGGAAAGACCCCGUGGAGCUUUACUGUAGCCUGAUAUUGAAAUUCGGUACAGUUUGUACAGGAUAGGUAGGAGCCUUAGAAGCGUGAGCGCUAGCUUACGUGGAGGCAUUGGUGGGAUACUACCCUAAUUGUAUUGGAUUUCUAACCCGCAGCACUUAUCGUGCUGGGAGACAGUGUCAGGCGGGCAGUUUGACUGGGGCGGUCGCCUCCUAAAGAGUAACGGAGGCGCUCAAAGGUUCCCUCAGAAUGGUUGGAAAUCAUUCAUAGAGUGUAAAGGCAUAAGGGAGCUUGACUGCGAGACCUACAAGUCGAGCAGGGUCGAAAGACGGACUUAGUGAUCCGGUGGUUCCGCAUGGAAGGGCCAUCGCUCAACGGAUAAAAGCUACCCCGGGGAUAACAGGCUUAUCUCCCCCAAGAGUUCACAUCGACGGGGAGGUUUGGCACCUCGAUGUCGGCUCAUCGCAUCCUGGGGCUGUAGUCGGUCCCAAGGGUUGGGCUGUUCGCCCAUUAAAGCGGUACGCGAGCUGGGUUCAGAACGUCGUGAGACAGUUCGGUCCCUAUCCGUCGUGGGCGUAGGAAAUUUGAGAGGAGCUGUCCUUAGUACGAGAGGACCGGGAUGGACAUACCUCUGGUGUACCAGUUGUCGUGCCAACGGCAUAGCUGGGUAGCUAUGUAUGGACGGGAUAAGUGCUGAAAGCAUCUAAGCAUGAAGCCCCCCU
RNAcentral lists this ribosomal RNA (1713 nucleotides) under Staphylococcus pseudintermedius. Its description in RNAcentral is "partial 23S ribosomal RNA". It matches the Rfam family "Bacterial large subunit ribosomal RNA", at positions 1083 to 2799 of the family's 2925-position model. Lineage: Bacteria; Bacillati; Bacillota; Bacilli; Caryophanales; Staphylococcaceae. The record is from RNAcentral.